GUGGUGUGUCGCAAAAAUCUUGAAGGAAGUUUUCCUCUCUCCAAAUUCCUAUUUGGAAAAUAUUUAAAUUAACACACAAUUUCAAAAAGCACAUACUCCCUCCGUUCCUUGAUAUAAGGUGUAUAGAUUUUUGAGAAAAAAUCCAAAAUAUAAGGUGUAGUGCGUUGCAUCACUCGUGUGGAUAUUUGUUUUAGGAAUUUUAUUACAUUUCCUUAUAUGAGGCAAGCUCCUCUAUUUUCUGAUGUCAAUUAGUUAGGUGUAAUCUCACCCAAAACUUCUGAAAUUUCCCCUCCACAUGCGUUCUUUAAUUUCCGUGCGAAAAACUAUACACCCUAUAUUUAGGAACGGAGGGAGUAAAAGUUGUUUUAAAAUUUCUUAAAUAAAUCUUAAAAUAAGCUAGAUGAAAUUUUAAAGAGGUAGGAAAAGAAUCAGUUCAUUUGGAGUUGUGGUUAAAAAGUUAUGAGCAGUCAAACUUUUGGUCAAACUCUGUUUUUAAAACAAAACAAAAGGAAAACGUUUCGCACUGAAUAUGCCUUCUAGAAGAGAUAGCGUAUUUACUAGAACGCUUCCGCUUUCGGCAAAUAGGAAACAUACCCGAGGCGUGGAAUGCUUUCACACGGCAAAAGCGUACUCCCUCCAGUAUGCAUCCUCGAGUAGAAAACGCACCUCGCGUGGUGUGCCAACAACGAGGGAGGUCGGCUCACCGACAGCUGGGGCCACCCUGUCGGAUUCGUCUCCCUCCUCUGCGCGUGUGAUGACAGAGAGCCGAGGCGAAUUCCGGCGCCGAUCGCCGGCGACUCAGGACACCACAUGACGCAUUAUGGCUAUGCAUACGCUCGGGGGAAUGCGCCGCAUCCAUUUUUGGAGGCUAGGGGCGCGGCGGAGCUCGAGGCUUGGCGGUGCUUCAUAAAUGGAGGAAUAGGCUUCAGCCAUGAAAGGGGCUUGCAUACCCCGGCGCCCGCAUGAGAUGGGGGAAGGGAACGGUCUUACGGGGACAUGAUGGGCUAUCGGUGAAGAAAGAGGGGGAGGGGAGGCUCUGGUUGCGUCGAAUUCGAGGAUGGGGCUACGGCGGGCGUCACGGCGACAAGCGAGGGGACAUGGCUGCUUUGGUUGAACUGCUCCUCGGGGAGCCUUACUGCGGGUCAAGGGAGGGAGGUGGAGCACUUAAAUGUUACGGAGGAGGCUAUUUAUAGACGACCAGAGGGUUCUCCAUGAUGGCAUGAGGAUAGGAUCACCGGCGACAUUGUUGACGACGGCACACGGGCGGUAUGGGCAGGGUGGGCAACGAGCGACUGAUGCAAAGGAGGGGCCAAGGGACAGCUGGCGCUUGGGGAGCGCUCGGGCGUGUUGGUCGUGGAAGAUCCGAAGUGGGGCGCCGGUCGCAGCGGCUUUGCCGGUGACGGCAGUGCUCGGUUACAGCAGGGUGGC
This 1428-nucleotide long non-coding RNA is filed under the name Hordeum vulgare. RNAcentral's name for it is "long non-coding RNA (HVUL_LNC018757)". Lineage: Eukaryota; Viridiplantae; Streptophyta; Magnoliopsida; Poales; Poaceae. The record is from RNAcentral.